GGAAACGGUAGCUAAUACCGCAUAACGUCGCAAGACCAAAGAGGGGGACCUUCGGGCCUCUUGCCAUCAGAUGUGCCCAGAUGGGAUUAGCUAGUAGGUGGGGUAAUGGCUCACCUAGGCGACGAUCCCUAGCUGGUCUGAGAGGAUGACCAGCCACACUGGAACUGAGACACGGUCCAGACUCCUACGGGAGGCAGCAGUGGGGAAUAUUGCACAAUGGGCGCAAGCCUGAUG
This 234-nucleotide ribosomal RNA is filed under the name Serratia marcescens. RNAcentral's name for it is "partial 16S ribosomal RNA". It matches the Rfam family "Bacterial small subunit ribosomal RNA", at positions 152 to 388 of the family's 1533-position model. The record is from RNAcentral. Lineage: Bacteria; Pseudomonadati; Pseudomonadota; Gammaproteobacteria; Enterobacterales; Yersiniaceae.